This 613-nucleotide long non-coding RNA is filed under the name Equus caballus (horse). RNAcentral's name for it is "lncRNA (ENSECAG00000051486.1)". The record is from RNAcentral. Lineage: Eukaryota; Metazoa; Chordata; Mammalia; Perissodactyla; Equidae.
GAGCAUCAGCUGCCCAGCCUUAGCACUUUGAGAAACUGGGAAGUGCAGACAGCUUAAACUGGCGGAGUCCGAUCAGAUGAGGCAAGAGAGGGUGCAGCCUCAGGGACGGUGGGCAUUGAACUUCCAGUGGUUGGAAUACCUCCACUCCCAGUCUUGAUGGCUCCCUAGCAUUCCCAACCCUGGGGCUUACCGUGGCUAUAGAGGAAGAUUGCAAGCUAGCAUUUUCCAAGCGUUUUCUGCACACUGCCCCUGUGAGGACAUACUCCUCAGACUGAAUUCUGCAGAUUCACAAUGUGCGAAAUAUCAGUCCACAAUAGAUUGAAAAUUUUAAAAACUGGUCCUUAAUCACAGAUCACGUGAGAAGCAUUGCUCUCAAGUCAGCCUCCUCUUUACCUGCUUCUGGACAGUCUCACGCUCAAAAUAAAGGCCUAUGGAGAAAAAGAGUUAGUUCAUCUAAGAUAACACCAAUAAAAGAAGAUACUGCUUAUAAGGACCCCAAAUGACACCCCAAGGAGGGAAUCUUGAACUGAAUAGGAGCCUGGCAGUUCAUCGAGAGCUGCUCAGCACAACGCUAAGCCCCUAAAAGGGGAGUAAAUUAUCUACUUGGAAAUCA